Molecule: non-coding RNA, 44 nt
Filed under: unclassified sequences
Source: RNAcentral
GUGCAGCAACGGCUUCCUGAAGCUGCGCUAACCUCAUCGGAGCA